UUCACGUUUAUUUUUUGGACUCAGUAUAAAAACAAAAUAUAGAAGGAGUAUUCCGUGUACUAGCGUACACGAAGCAACUGUAAAUUCACAGGGUUGUAAGAGUAAACUCUAUAAUGAUCCCUCCGCUGGUUCACCUACGGAAA
This 143-nucleotide unclassified non-coding RNA is filed under the name uncultured fungus. Its description in RNAcentral is "sequence contains ITS1". The record is from RNAcentral. Lineage: Eukaryota; Fungi.